AUUUGUUUGACUUAAUACAUAAUUGACACUAAUAUACAUGUAUUACUUUACAUACACUGUCACUUUCAAAUCACUGCUUGUACCUACACUUACAUACUGUCUAUUGCACUACCUGCUACUCCCAUUUGUCUGUAGUUUAGUUUAUUAUAUGUCACCAUAUGUGUAGUAUAUGUUAUAUGUAUAUAUGUUAGUAUUAUAUGUAUAGGUUGGUAUAUUUAGUAAGGUCAUUAUAUGUUAUUACAUGUAAAUUAUGUUCAGAGUACUUGUACAGAGUGUAUGUCAUGUUAUGUUAUAUUAUGUUUGCUAUGUUAUGCUAUGGUAGUUGUUGUGUGGUGCCUUGUCCUAAGAAUUUCAGUGCCCAGUCUGACCCUGUGUCAUUCUGUGCAUCUGACAAUAAAAGACUUGUAACUUGUAACUUGUAACUUUAUUUCUAGUUUCAAAGGAUGAGCUCUGUUCCUUCUGUGGAAUUGAGGACCUGCCCAAAACUGAUGUUGAUGCUGUUUGGAUUCAGUGUGGAACUUGCUCAAGAUGGUUUCACACGCAGUGCCUUGGGAUGACAGCAGCACAAAUACCAAACAACAUUGGUAUUGUGUGUUGUGUAACUGAACACUUAGGAAUAUGUAUGUCUGACUUUGUCGGAUAAACUUGUUGACUUCAAGUUUAUCCAGUUAAAUGUUGUUCAAGCCAAACCAGUCAUGUAUACAUUGGUAUCUGAUCGUUCAUAAAGAUUAAAUGGGGGAACUACUUGA
Long non-coding RNA from Pseudoliparis swirei, 749 nucleotides. RefSeq lists it as uncharacterized. NCBI's taxonomy places the organism in Eukaryota, Metazoa, Chordata, Actinopteri, Perciformes, Liparidae. The record is from RefSeq and is a predicted model, not a curated record. The transcript is spliced from 2 exons.